This 619-nucleotide long non-coding RNA is filed under the name Chinchilla lanigera (long-tailed chinchilla). RNAcentral's name for it is "lncRNA (ENSCLAG00000025348.1)". Lineage: Eukaryota; Metazoa; Chordata; Mammalia; Rodentia; Chinchillidae. The record is from RNAcentral.
UUGAGACUGUAGGAGAGGCAGCUGGUGGCUGAUGUUUGUCUGUUCCUUGGAUUUUUCAAGUAUCAAGGAUAACAGAAACAAAAGAAUAUUUUUUCAGAAUAUAAAUUCUAGAUAAUGAAAAUUUCACUGAAGUACUUAGCUUGCAAAACCAGAGCAUUCUGCUAACCGUAUCCUGUGGAAUUCGAGGGCAGAGAUUUCAGAACAUAAGGAGCCAUUGCAAGCUGACCGCCUAGAAGCACACCGACCCAUGCUCUGAAUUGUUAAUUUUUCAAAGGGCGUCUUUCUCCCAGACUUUGUGCUUAUUACUGGAUUGUCUCCUGACAGCCCAGAAUACUCCCCCAGACUCGCCUCCAAACUGUGUGAAAUCUAUUUUGCAUCUGCAAGAGUCUGGGCCUCCCAAGAUCAGGUUUGGGGAGUAUGGCAGAGUAUUCGUGAAACUUACUUUCUCAUAAGAUUAAAGAAACAAACCUUCAUAGACCCCAGGAAAGGGAAGAAGAAUGGAAGAGAAUAGUCCUCUAAUAAGAAUCUCCUUUCCCUAAGAGCAUCUUCAUCAUUCACGAGGUGCCAAGUACCAUGCUAAGUACUCUACCUUCAUUAUCUCACUUAAUUCUUACCAUUC